CCUACAAGUCGAGCAGGGUCGAAAGACGGACUUAGUGAUCCGGUGGUUCCGCAUGGAAGGGCCAUCGCUCAACGGAUAAAAGCUACCCCGGGGAUAACAGGCUUAUCUCCCCCAAGAGUUCACAUCGACGGGGAGGUUUGGCACCUCGAUGUCGGCUCAUCGCAUCCUGGGGCUGUAGUCGGUCCCAAGGGUUGGGCUGUUCGCCCAUUAAAGCGGUACGCGAGCUGGGUUCAGAACGUCGUGAGACAGUUCGGUCCCUAUCCGUCGUGGGCGUAGGAAAUUUGAGAGGAGCUGUCCUUAGUACGAGAGGACCGGGAUGGACAUACCUCUGGUGUACCAGUUGUCGUGCCAACGGCAUAGCUGGGUAGCUAUGUGUGGACGGGAUAAGUGCUGAAAGCAUCUAAGCAUGAAGCCCCCCUCAAGAUGAGAUUUCCCAACUUCGGUUAUAAGAUCCCUCAAAGAUGAUGAGG
RNAcentral lists this ribosomal RNA (470 nucleotides) under Staphylococcus aureus. RNAcentral's name for it is "partial 23S ribosomal RNA". It matches the Rfam family "Bacterial large subunit ribosomal RNA", at positions 2381 to 2852 of the family's 2925-position model. Lineage: Bacteria; Bacillati; Bacillota; Bacilli; Caryophanales; Staphylococcaceae. The record is from RNAcentral.